ACAGUUUAAGAUGAUUGUGUACAAAACUCGCUUCAGUUCUCUCUUUAAGCUCAAUGCUUCAAAGGGGGUUGAAGGAGAAAACGUUUGCUUCAGACCCUACAAAAAUGGUAUUUCCUUCCUGCUGGCAUGUCGGAAAAUAUGUAGUAGAAAAAUUUUCAACUGACAAUCAUGUGAGUUGUAAAAUCUUAUGAUCAGUUUCAGUGUCCUGCCUUCAUCACUCUUUUCUAGAUAAUAUCAUUAUUCGGAGGGUUGGCCAUUCCUUCUAAGUUGGAUUUGGACUUGGUGUGCUGUUAUUAUGGUUGUUUUGUCUUUAUUAAUAGCUUUUGUUUCUAUGAUCUUUAAUAAAUUUACAUAUUAUUGAAUCUCUGAUAAAUGGGGUGGAUUUAUCUAAAGAGGAGGUAGAAGCUUCUCUUGAUUUUUUUACUGAGUGAAGCUAAUGAAGUUUUGAUUAGUGCUUUUCUUAUUCUUUUGAGAGCCAAAGGAGAGUCAUUCGAAGAAGUUGUGGGAUUGGCGAGGGCAAUGUUCAAAUGCUUGAGGAAGGUUGAAGGAAUGACUGAUGUGGUUGAUAUUGUUGGAACGAGAGGUGAUGGGACAAACACAAUUAACAUAUCAACAGGGGCUAGUAUUAUAGUUGCUGCCUCUGGUGCAAAAAUUGCCAAGCAAGGAAACAGAUCCAGUUCUUCUGCCUAUGGAAGUGCUGAUGUGUUAAAGGCAUUGGGGGUAAACAUCAAUUUGGACCCUGAGGUAAGUGUUAUAAAAUGAUCGACUGAUUCCAUUUAUACAUAGUUUCUUUUACUUCAACAUUGAUAUGGUCAUUUGUCUUUUUAAUUCUUUUUAUUAUGAUGAGCUAGGAUAGCCAAAUA
This is a long non-coding RNA of Magnolia sinica, 863 nucleotides long. RefSeq lists it as uncharacterized. Lineage: Eukaryota; Viridiplantae; Streptophyta; Magnoliopsida; Magnoliales; Magnoliaceae. The transcript has 3 exons. The record is from RefSeq and is a predicted model, not a curated record.